RNAcentral lists this unclassified non-coding RNA (215 nucleotides) under uncultured bacterium. RNAcentral describes it as "contains 16S-23S intergenic spacer region". The record is from RNAcentral.
CCACACCAGCCUUCCCUCAUCCCAACACCUGACUGCAGGCAGAGUGGGAGGGGGAGCAGGGAGGGGUCUUAGCCCCACUAGUGCGCAUGUGUGCGUGCUCAGUCCCUUCAGUUGUGUCCGACUCUUUUCGACCCCGUGGACUGUCGCCCACUAGGCUUCUCUGUCCUUGGGAUUCUCCAAGUGAGAAUACUGGAGUGGGUUGCCAUGCCCUCCUU